RNAcentral lists this long non-coding RNA (276 nucleotides) under Nicotiana benthamiana. RNAcentral describes it as "long non-coding RNA (NBEN_LNC001644)". Lineage: Eukaryota; Viridiplantae; Streptophyta; Magnoliopsida; Solanales; Solanaceae. The record is from RNAcentral.
UGUAGUCUCAGUCUGAGCAACAUAAGCAUUUUUGGGUGGGCGGCCAUGUAAAGAAUAGCACAUGCCACGAGUGUGUCCAAGUUUAUAACAAUAAGAGCACUUGGGUCUAGAUCUUCCAAAACGACCUCCUCCUCGUCUACCCUCCUUAGUAUGAGAUGCCUGAUUGUCCAUUGACUGGAAUACGAGGAAAGAUGAGUCAAGUGUCUUUGAUGAGCUCACUAGAUGACUUGGUGCUGCAGCAAGGCGAAGUAAUCGAGAGAAUAGUUCAUCAACUGU